GAAUCACACCUCCACUACCAUUACUCAUCUUACUCUCAAUUACCCCUUCUAAUUCUUUAAUCUUAUUAAGCAUCUGGAUUUUAUCACAUGAAAAUGAAAACUCCUUAUCCAUUUGAACAAUUUGUAAGUUUUUCAAAUGCCCUUCACUCAAUUCCCCUUUCUCAAUCUUGUUAAAAAGCUCUUUCACUACACUUUCUGGUUCACCUUCACCAACCAAAACUGGGUUCUUUUUCUUACUUCUCAACAAUAUCUCUAACACCUUUUUCACUUCUUCACCUCUUUGUAGACUACCCAAUUGUCCUCCUACCCCCACCCCACCCCCACCUCCACCUCCCUGCAAUUUUGGAUUCAAA
Molecule: unclassified non-coding RNA, 353 nt
Filed under: Hevea brasiliensis (rubber tree)
Lineage: Eukaryota; Viridiplantae; Streptophyta; Magnoliopsida; Malpighiales; Euphorbiaceae
Source: RNAcentral